Molecule: ribosomal RNA, 735 nt
Filed under: Triticum aestivum (bread wheat)
Lineage: Eukaryota; Viridiplantae; Streptophyta; Magnoliopsida; Poales; Poaceae
Description: partial small subunit ribosomal RNA
Source: RNAcentral
AUGGCGAUGGACAUGGUGGCCGGCCUGGGAAAGCAGCGCGGCGUCAGCCACUCGGUCUCGUUCCUCCUCGGGGCCCUUCUCCCCACCCUCAUGCUCUUCUUCCUCGCCUCCGAUCGGGACUUCCAGUUAGGGAAUGGAUCUACUCACCAGCUGACUACUAGCAAUGCGACUAACCUCCCAGGUGACGGCUCGGACGGCGAGAAGGAGGAAGCAUUCCCGGGACUCGCUGAGCUGCUGCCAAAGGUUGCCAUGGACGACGGGACGGUGAUCAUCACGUCGGUGAACGAGGCGUGGGCGCGCCCAGGCUCCCUCCUCGACCUCUUCCUCGGUAGCUUCCGCGACGGCGAGGGUAUCGCGCACCUCCUCAACCACACCCUCAUCGUCGCCGCCGACCCCGGCGCCUUGGCACUUUGCCAGGCCGUGCACCCGCACUGCUACCACCAUGAGGUCACCUCCGCCAAAGUUACCUCCGCUAACCGCUUCAUGACCAAGAGCUAUCUCGAGCUCAUCUGGGCCAGGCUCGAGGUCCCACAACGUAUCCUCCAGCUUGGCUACAACUAUCUCUCCACCGAUGUGGAUGCCAUGUGGUUGCGCAACCCGUUCCGGCACAUCAGCCUUUACGCCGAUGUGGCCAUGUCGACUGAUCACUUCAAUGGCAAUGCCGAGGACCUACAAAAUGUGGGAAACAGCGCUUCUACUACAUUAGGUCGACAAACCGGACGGUGGAGAUGCUAA